This 474-nucleotide ribosomal RNA is filed under the name uncultured bacterium. RNAcentral's name for it is "partial 23S ribosomal RNA". The stretch from base 1 to 264 matches the Rfam family "Archaeal large subunit ribosomal RNA", at positions 287 to 547 of the family's 2987-position model. The record is from RNAcentral.
AGAGGAUGAGCUCGCGAGGGGGCGGACGGGUUCCAAUCCGUCUGGGAAGGGCGGAGGCACGGAGGGCGAUUCCCCGUACGUGCUCGGUCCGUCCCCGACGAGCGAAACGCGAUCGGGAGAGUCGGGCCGCUUGAGAGUGCAGCCCGAAAUGGGGUGAUAGGUCUCAAUCCAAGGCUAAGUACGUGGGAGACGCCGAUAGCGAACAAGUACGGCGACGGAAAGGUGAAAAGAACCUCGAAAGGGGGGUCAAAAGCGCUCGAAAUCGUAGAGGGGGAAGCGGACCUGACCGACGAGACCUCGUCGUCGCUCGCGCUCGACCCACGCUUCGUCGCGGAGUUCCGGAGGGCUCGCCCCCCGGAGCCGCGGCGCGGCGGGGUCGGGAGGCGCUCGGCGGGCGGGGCCGCUUGCGCGGGACCGGCGUCGCGCCGAACGAGAGGUCGCCUCGGCUCGCCCGAAAAGGACGCGCCGGGGGGC